CAGGCUUAACACAUGCAAGUCGAGGGGCAGCGGGGUAGUGCUUGCACUACUGCCGGCGACCGGCGCACGGGUGAGUAACACGUAUGGAACCUGCCCGCAGCAGGGGGAUAAGCGGAAGAAAUUCCGUCUAAUACCGCGUAAGAACGUUGGGAGGCAUCUCCCGAUGUUUAAAGAUUUAUCGGCUGCGGAUGGCCAUGCGGCGCAUUAGCUAGUCGGCGGGGUAACGGCCCACCGAGGCGACGAUGCGUAGGGGUUCUGAGAGGAAGGUCCCCCACACUGGUACUGAGACACGGACCAGACUCCUACGGGAGGCAGCAGUGAGGAAUAUUGGUCAAUGGCCGAGAGGCUGAACCAGCCAAGUCGCGUGAGGGAAGACGGCCCUACGGGUUGUAAACCUCUUUUGUCGGGGAGCAAAGCGAACCACGUGUGGUUCAUUGAGAGUACCCGAAGAAAAAGCAUCGGCUAACUCCGUGCCAGCAGCCGCGGUAAUACGGAGGAUGCGAGCGUUAUCCGGAUUUAUUGGGUUUAAAGGGUGCGCAGGCGGAGGUGCAAGUCAGCGGUCAAAUUGCGGGGCUCAACCCCGUACUGCCGUUGAAACUGCAUCCCUUGAGUGCGCGAGAAGUAUGCGGAAUGCGUGGUGUAGCGGUGAAAUGCAUAGGUAUCACGCAGAACUCCGAUUGCGAAGGCAGCAUACCGGCGCGCAACUGUCGCUCAUGCACGAAAGCGUGGGUAUCGAACAGGAUUAGAUACCCUGGUAGUCCACGCAGUAAACGAUGAACACUAACUGUUCGGCCAGAAUGAUGGCUGAGUGGUACAGCGAAAGCGUUAUGUGUUCCACCUGGGGAGUACGCCGGCAACGGUGAAACUCAAAGGAAUUGACGGGGGCCCGCACAAGCGGAGGAACAUGUGGUUUAAUUCGAUGAUACGCGAGGAACCUUACCCGGGCUCAAACGACACAGGAAUACUUUUGAAAGGAGGUAGCCCUACGGGGUCUGUGUCGAGGUGCUGCAUGGUUGUCGUCAGCUCGUGCCGUGAGGUGUCGGCUUAAGUGCCAUAACGAGCGCAACCCCUAUCGCCAGUUACCAUCAAGUAAAGUUGGGGACUCUGGCGAGACUGCCGGCGCAAGCUGAGAGGAAGGCGGGGAUGACGUCAAAUCAGCACGGCCCUUACGUCCGGGGCGACACACGUGUUACAAUGGCAGGUACAGAGAGAAGCCAGGUGGUGACACCGAGCGGAACUCGAAAGCCUGUCUCAGUUCGGAUCGGAGUCUGCAACCCGACUCCGUGAAGCUGGAUUCGCUAGUAAUCGCGCAUCAGCCAUGGCGCGGUGAAUACGUUCCCGGGCCU
This 1346-nucleotide ribosomal RNA is filed under the name uncultured bacterium. RNAcentral's name for it is "bacterial SSU rRNA". It matches the Rfam family "Bacterial small subunit ribosomal RNA", at positions 43 to 1381 of the family's 1533-position model. The record is from RNAcentral.